GACGAACGCUGGCGGCGUGCCUAAUACAUGCAAGUAGAACGCUGAAGAGAGGAGCUUGCUCUUCUUGGAUGAGUUGCGAACGGGUGAGUAACGCGUAGGUAACCUGCCUUGUAGCGGGGGAUAACUAUUGGAAACGAUAGCUAAUACCGCAUAACAAUGGAUGACACAUGUCAUUUAUUUGAAAGGGGCAAUUGCUCCACUACAAGAUGGACCUGCGUUGUAUUAGCUAGUAGGUGAGGUAACGGCUCACCUAGGCGACGAUACAUAGCCGACCUGAGAGGGUGAUCGGCCACACUGGGACUGAGACACGGCCCAGACUCCUACGGGAGGCAGCAGUAGGGAAUCUUCGGCAAUGGGGGCAACCCUGACCGAGCAACGCCGCGUGAGUGAAGAAGGUUUUCGGAUCGUAAAGCUCUGUUGUAAGUCAAGAACGAGUGUGAGAGUGGAAAGUUCACACUGUGACGGUAGCUUACCAGAAAGGGACGGCUAACUACGUGCCAGCAGCCGCGGUAAUACGUAGGUCCCGAGCGUUGUCCGGAUUUAUUGGGCGUAAAGCGAGCGCAGGCGGUUCGAUAAGUCUGAAGUUAAAGGCUGUGGCUCAACCAUAGUUCGCUUUGGAAACUGUCAAACUUGAGUGCAGAAGGGGAGAGUGGAAUUCCAUGUGUAGCGGUGAAAUGCGUAGAUAUAUGGAGGAACACCGGUGGCGAAAGCGGCUCUCUGGUCUGUAACUGACGCUGAGGCUCGAAAGCGUGGGGAGCGAACAGGAUUAGAUACCCUGGUAGUCCACGCCGUAAACGAUGAGUGCUAGGUGUUGGAUCCUUUCCGGGAUUCAGUGCCGCAGCUAACGCAUUAAGCACUCCGCCUGGGGAGUACGACCGCAAGGUUGAAACUCAAAGGAAUUGACGGGGGCCCGCACAAGCGGUGGAGCAUGUGGUUUAAUUCGAAGCAACGCGAAGAACCUUACCAGGUCUUGACAUCCCGAUGCUAUUUCUAGAGAUAGAAAGUUACUUCGGUACAUCGGUGACAGGUGGUGCAUGGUUGUCGUCAGCUCGUGUCGUGAGAUGUUGGGUUAAGUCCCGCAACGAGCGCAACCCCUAUUGUUAGUUGCCAUCAUUCAGUUGGGCACUCUAGCGAGACUGCCGGUAAUAAACCGGAGGAAGGUGGGGAUGACGUCAAAUCAUCAUGCCCCUUAUGACCUGGGCUACACACGUGCUACAAUGGUUGGUACAACGAGUUGCGAGUCGGUGACGGCAAGCUAAUCUCUUAAAGCCAAUCUCAGUUCGGAUUGUAGGCUGCAACUCGCCUACAUGAAGUCGGAAUCGCUAGUAAUCGCGGAUCAGCACGCCGCGGUGAAUACGUUCCCGGGCCU
RNAcentral lists this ribosomal RNA (1369 nucleotides) under uncultured bacterium. RNAcentral's name for it is "bacterial SSU rRNA". It matches the Rfam family "Bacterial small subunit ribosomal RNA", at positions 28 to 1381 of the family's 1533-position model. The record is from RNAcentral.